CUAGAUCCCUGAGGAAUCGCCACACUGACUUCCACAAUGGUUGAACUAGUUUACAGUCCCACCAACAGUGUAAAAGUGUUCCUAUUUCUCCACAUCCUCUCCAGCACCUGUUGUUUCCUGACUUUUUAAUGAUUGCUUUUUUCUCUGUCUUACAAACUCCUGCUCAUCCUUUAAGGUCAGCCUCAGAUGUCACAACCUCUGUGAAGCUCUCCCCAGCUCUCCUAGCAUCACGUCAUCUUGACAGCUAUGAAUUCCUUAAAGCCAUUUUAAACUGAGGUACUGUUUCACCUUUCUAAUUUAGUUUAACCUUGUGAAAUUUCACUGUGUUUUGUUCAGGUGGAAACAUUUUAUUUACAUUAUCAGAUUUGGUAUUGUCUUCCUGUAAGAAAAUAGGGAUAUAGCUUUGGAGCUUUAGUUGAACUUAUAUUAAUCUAGUCUUAUCAACAACAGGAGGGCAUCUGACAUCAGUUAGAGGCUGAUUGGAAAGAACUGUUGAGCUGACGACGCUAACUUUAAAAGUCAGA
Molecule: long non-coding RNA, 524 nt
Filed under: Homo sapiens (human)
Lineage: Eukaryota; Metazoa; Chordata; Mammalia; Primates; Hominidae
Description: non-protein coding lnc-ITGB3BP-5:9
Source: RNAcentral